CGCUGAGUUUAUCCUGGCUCAGGAUGAACGCUAGCGGCAGGCUUAACACAUGCAAGUCGAGGGGUAUAGUUCUUCGGAGCUAGAGACCGGCGCACGGGUGCGUAACGCGUAUGCAAUCUACCUUUUACAGAGGGAUAGCCCAGAGAAAUUUGGAUUAAUACCUCAUAGUAUGUGAGAAUCGCAUGGUUUUUCACAUUAAAGUCACAACGGUAAAGAUGAGCAUGCGUCCCAUUAGCUAGAUGGUAAGGUAACGGCUUACCAUGGCGACGAUGGGUAGGGGUCCUGAGAGGGA
RNAcentral lists this ribosomal RNA (292 nucleotides) under uncultured Flavobacterium sp. Its description in RNAcentral is "partial 16S ribosomal RNA". It matches the Rfam family "Bacterial small subunit ribosomal RNA", at positions 1 to 301 of the family's 1533-position model. Lineage: Bacteria; Pseudomonadati; Bacteroidota; Flavobacteriia; Flavobacteriales; Flavobacteriaceae. The record is from RNAcentral.